Molecule: non-coding RNA, 155 nt
Filed under: Paracoccaceae bacterium
Lineage: Bacteria; Pseudomonadati; Pseudomonadota; Alphaproteobacteria; Rhodobacterales; Paracoccaceae
Description: 6S RNA
Rfam family: 6S / SsrS RNA
About the family: E. coli 6S RNA was the first non coding RNA to be sequenced, but its function was unknown until recently. It consists of 184 nucleotides that fold into an extended hairpin structure with a large single-stranded internal bulge. The 6S RNA specifically associates with RNA polymerase holoenzyme containing the sigma70 specificity factor.
Source: RNAcentral
CGGGUUCUGCUCUGUUCGUAAUGGUUGCAUUCCAGUGGCCUUAAGCAAUUCCGAGGGAACUGGCUCUGUCCUGGCCCUGGCCUGGUUACCUGGUGCCCACCUGUAAAUACAGGUCCCCGGGAAUGAGAAAGCCUAACGGCAGCUGCGGUCCCGCU